UGCCAGACUCCUACGGGAGGCAGCAGUGGGGGAUAUUGCACAAUGGGGGAAACCCUGAUGCAGCAACGCCGCGUGAGUGAAGAAGUAUUUCGGUAUGUAAAGCUCUAUCAGCAGGGAAGAAGAUGACGGUACCUGAUUAAGAAGCCCCGGCUAACUACGUGCCAGCAGCCGCGGUAAUACGUAGGGGGCAAGCGUUAUCCGGAUUUACUGGGUGUAAAGGGAGCGUAGACGGCAUGGCAAGUCUGAAGUGAAAGCCCGGGGCUCAACCGCGGGACUGCUUUGGAAACUGUUAAGCUGGAGUGCAGGAGAGGUAAGUGGAAUUCCUAGUGUAGCGGUGAAAUGCGUAGAUAUUAGGAGGAACACCAGUGGCGAAGGCGGCGUACUGGACUGUAACUGACGUUGAGGCUCGAAAGCGUGGGGAGCAAACAGGAUUAGAUACCCGCGUACUU
Molecule: ribosomal RNA, 449 nt
Filed under: uncultured bacterium
Lineage: Bacteria
Description: bacterial SSU rRNA
Rfam family: Bacterial small subunit ribosomal RNA
Source: RNAcentral